GACGAACGCUGGCGGCGUGCUUAACACAUGCAAGUCGAACGGAAAGGCCCUGCUUUUGUGGGGUGCUCGAGUGGCGAACGGGUGAGAAAAACGCGAGUAACCUGUCCUUGACUUUGGGAUAACUUCAGGAAACUGGGGCUAAUACCGGAUAGGAGCUCUUGCUGCACGGUGGGGGUUGGAAAGUUUCGGCGGUUGGGGAUGGACUCGCGGCUUAUCAGCUUGUUGGUGGGGUAGUGGCUUACCAAGGCUUUGACGGGUAGCCGGCCUGAGAGGGUGACCGGCCACAUUGGGACUGAGAUACGGCCCAGACUCCUACGGGAGGCAGCAGUGGGGAAUAUUGCACAAUGGGCGGAAGCCUGAUGCAGCAACGCCGCGUGCGGGAUGACGGCCUUCGGGUUGUAAACCGCUUUCGCCUGUGACGAAGCGUGAGUGACGGUAAUGGGUAAAGAAGCACCGGCUAACUACGUG
This 468-nucleotide ribosomal RNA is filed under the name uncultured bacterium. RNAcentral's name for it is "partial 16S ribosomal RNA". It matches the Rfam family "Bacterial small subunit ribosomal RNA", at positions 28 to 507 of the family's 1533-position model. The record is from RNAcentral.